Long non-coding RNA from Photinus pyralis (common eastern firefly), 417 nucleotides. RefSeq lists it as uncharacterized. Lineage: Eukaryota; Metazoa; Arthropoda; Insecta; Coleoptera; Lampyridae. The transcript is spliced from 3 exons. The record is from RefSeq and is a predicted model, not a curated record.
AGAUGGCAUUACUAGGUUUAUUCUUGUUAUUUGUUAUAAACAUUAUUUUAUUUGGGAAAUUUACAACAAUUUAAAACAUAUUUUUGUCGUUAUUCAGCGAUUGCAGUCGUAUUGCGUAUGCAAUAUAAUUUAAAUUAUUUGUCGUCAAUUGACGGAUCAAUUGUUUCAUUUAAUUAAGUAUUAGUCUGACUUCUGAGCAAACGUACCAGUUUUUUAUAAUUUGAAUAUUGUCACUAGUGGAAAUUUUUCCACAAGACGAAAUAGGGUUGAACAUAAACCCUAUUUCCCGAUUUUCUUAUUUCGAUAUAAAAAAAUAUCGAAAGUAACGGUCAGAAGUCAGAACUACUAUCUCCCAGUCAGGAGCCUACAUUAUUGCCAUCUAUUAGCAUCCCUCCAAUCUGGAUGUACAUCUUUUAU